GGGGAAUUUUCCGCAAUGGGCGAAAGCCUGACGGAGCAAUACCGCGUGAGGGAUGAAGGCCUAUGGGUUGUAAACCUCUUUUUUCAGGGAGGAAUCAAUGACGUGUACUUGAAGAAUAAGCAUCGGCUAACUCCGUGCCAGCAGCCGCGGUAAGACGGAGGAUGCAAGUGUUAUCCGGAAUCACUGGGCGUAAAGCGUCUGUAGGUGGUCAAAUAAGUCAACUGUUAAAUCUUGAGGCUCAACCUCAAAAUCGCAGUCGAAACUAUUAGACCAGAGUAUAGUAGGGGUAAAGGGAAUUUCCAGUGGAGCGGUGAAAUGCGUAGAUAUUGGAAGGAACACCGAUGGCGAAGGCACUUUACUGGGCUAUUACUAACACUCAGAGACGAAAGCUAGGGUAGCAAAUGGGAUUAGAUACCCCAGUAGUC
This 425-nucleotide ribosomal RNA is filed under the name uncultured cyanobacterium. Its description in RNAcentral is "bacterial SSU rRNA". It matches the Rfam family "Bacterial small subunit ribosomal RNA", at positions 356 to 795 of the family's 1533-position model. The record is from RNAcentral. Lineage: Bacteria; Bacillati; Cyanobacteriota.